This 343-nucleotide unclassified non-coding RNA is filed under the name soil metagenome. RNAcentral describes it as "partial contains 5.8S ribosomal RNA, internal transcribed spacer 2, and large subunit ribosomal RNA". The stretch from base 1 to 120 matches the Rfam family "5.8S ribosomal RNA", at positions 35 to 154 of the family's 154-position model. The record is from RNAcentral.
GAUGAAGAACGUAGCGAAAUGCGAUAGGUAAUGUGAAUUGCAGAAUCCAGUGAAUCAUCGAAUCUUUGAACGCACAUUGCGCCCGCCAGCAUUCUGGCGGGCAUGCCUGUUCGAGCGUCAUUUCAACCCUCGACCUCCCUUUGGGGAAGUCGGCGUUGGGGACCGGCAGCACACCGCCGGCCCUGAAAUGGAGUGGCGGCCCGUCCGCGGCGACCUCUGCGUAGUAAUCCAACUCGCACCGGAACCCCGACGCGGCCACGCCGUAAAACACCCAACUUCUGAACGUUGACCUCGAAUCAGGUAGGACUACCCGCUGAACUUAAGCAUAUCAAUAAGCGGAGGA